CGGACGGGUGAGUAACGCGUGGGUAACCUGCCUCAUACAGGGGGAUAACAGUUAGAAAUGACUGCUAAUACCGCAUAAGACCACAGCACCGCAUGGUGCGGGGGUAAAAACUCCGGUGGUAUGAGAUGGACCCGCGUCUGAUUAGCUAGUUGGUAAGGUAACGGCUUACCAAGGCGACGAUCAGUAGCCGACCUGAGAGGGUGACCGGCCACAUUGGGACUGAGACACGGCCCAA
This 235-nucleotide ribosomal RNA is filed under the name uncultured bacterium. Its description in RNAcentral is "partial 16S ribosomal RNA". It matches the Rfam family "Bacterial small subunit ribosomal RNA", at positions 99 to 334 of the family's 1533-position model. The record is from RNAcentral.